AUGCUCAGAGGUUGCUGCCUGUUGUGUCUUGGGAAGGGUGAUAAAAUCAUGUUAUCUCCUGGCUUAUUUUUAUUUCAUGGCCUUGCCUUCUUGGGACUGUUCCUUUCUCAGAGAGAACUGCAUGGAAGAGAAAGGAAUAACCCCCGGUCUCUUGACAUUAGAGCUGCAAGCCUUGGAGACCUUCCUCGACAACCUGAUUCGUGCUGCCCCUGCCAUACCUGCCACCUGUGUUCUGUCCUAGAGAACUUCUGUUCUGAACACAGGUCUCAUGUCUGUGACGUCUGCACCCUUCCGUCGAGCCCUUUGUCUCACUACGACACUUCUGCUGCUAGGCCCUCCCCGCAGAAACUUCUCAGACCGUCUGCAGCCAUCUGCAGCCUUCUUGGCUCUGUGGACCGUGAGUCUCUCCGGAGCAGGGACUAUGCAGACAGCGACUCGGUCCCUGGAGCAUGGGAAGCAACCAGGCCGUGGAGUGUGAAGGUGGAGGCAGGGCCCUCCUUCUGA
RNAcentral lists this long non-coding RNA (504 nucleotides) under Ursus thibetanus thibetanus. RNAcentral's name for it is "lncRNA (ENSUTTG00000011943.1)". Lineage: Eukaryota; Metazoa; Chordata; Mammalia; Carnivora; Ursidae. The record is from RNAcentral.